CGAAUGCUGACGUGAGUAACGACAAAACGGGUGAAAAACCCGUUCGCCGAAAGACCAAGGGUUCCAGUCCAACGUUAAUCGGGGCUGGGUGAGUCGACCCCUAAGGCGAGGCCGAAAGGCGUAGUCGAUGGGAAAAUGGUUAAUAUUCCAUUACUUCUGUGUAAUGCGAUGAGAGGACGGAGAAGGCUAAAUCAGCCUGGCGUUGGUUGUCCAGGUGAAAGGAUGUAGGCAUGUAUCUUAGGCAAAUCCGGGGUACUCUAUGCUGAGAUCUGAUAGCAAGCUGUACUUGUACAGCGAAGUGGUUGAUGCCAUGCUUCCAGGAAAAGUCUCUAAGCUUCAGUUACACAGGAAUCGUACCCGAAACCGACACAGGUGGUCAGGUCGAGUAGACCAAGGCGCUUGAGAGAACUCUGCUGAAGGAACUAGGCAAAAUGGUACCGUAACUUCGGGAGAAGGUACGCUGUUGUUGGUGAUGGAACUCGCUUCCUGAGCUGACGACAGCCGCAGAAACCAGGCCGCUGCAACUGUUUAUUAAAAACAUAGCACUCUGCAAACACGAAAGUGGACGUAUAGGGUGUGAUGCCUGCCCGGUGCUGGAAGGUUAAUUGAUGGGGUUAGCGUAAGCGAAGCUCUUGAUCGAAGCCCCAGUAAACGGCGGCCGUAACUAUAACGGUCCUAAGGUAGCGAAAUUCCUUGUCGGGUAAGUUCCGACCUGCACGAAUGGCAUAAUGAUGGCGGCGCUGUCUCCAGCAGAGGCUCAGUGAAAUCGAAAUCGCUGUGAAGAUGCAGUGUACCCGCGGCUAGACGGAAAGACCCCGUGAACCUUUACUGCAGCUUGACACUGAACUUUGACCUUACUUGUGUAGGAUAGGUGGGAGGCUUUGAAGCUGGAACGCUAGUUCCAGUGGAGCCGUCCUUGAAAUACCACCCUGGUAAUGUUGAGGUUCUAACUCUGUCCCGUGAUCCGGGACGAGGACCGUGUCUGGUGGGUAGUUUGACUGGGGCGGUCUCCUCCUAAAGAGUAACGGAGGAGUACGAAGGUGCGCUCAGCGUGGUCGGAAAUCACGCGUAGAGUAUAAAGGCAAAAGCGCGCUUAACUGCGAGACCCACAAGUCGAGCAGGUACGAAAGUAGGUCUUAGUGAUCCGGUGGUUCUGUAUGGAAGGGCCAUCGCUCAACGGAUAAAAGGUACUCUGGGGAUAACAGGCUGAUACCGCCCAAGAGUUCAUAUCGACGGCGGUGUUUGGCACCUCGAUGUCGGCUCAUCUCAUCCUGGGGCUGAAGCAGGUCCCAAGGGUAUGGCUGUUCGCCAUUUAAAGAGGUACGCGAGCUGGGUUUAGAACGUCGUGAGACAGUUCGGUCCCUAUCUACCGUGGGCGCUGGAAAUUUGAGAGG
RNAcentral lists this ribosomal RNA (1394 nucleotides) under Acinetobacter baumannii. RNAcentral's name for it is "partial 23S ribosomal RNA". It matches the Rfam family "Bacterial large subunit ribosomal RNA", at positions 1291 to 2669 of the family's 2925-position model. Lineage: Bacteria; Pseudomonadati; Pseudomonadota; Gammaproteobacteria; Moraxellales; Moraxellaceae. The record is from RNAcentral.